Molecule: long non-coding RNA, 446 nt
Organism: Magnolia sinica
Lineage: Eukaryota; Viridiplantae; Streptophyta; Magnoliopsida; Magnoliales; Magnoliaceae
Exons: 4
Source: RefSeq, a predicted model, not a curated record
AUUGAGGACAUGCAGAAAGUAAAGGAAGAGAUGGAAAAACUGAAAGGGGAGGCACAAGCCGACAAGGAUCACAUGCUACAGUAUAAAGAAAUAGCACAAGUGAAUGAAGUUGCAUUGAAGCAAAUUGAAUCUGCUCAUGAAAAAUUCAAGGCUGAGGCUGACAAGCUAAAGAAGUCAUUGGAAGAUGAAAUUCAUUUACUCAAGGGAAGGGUUUCAAAACUUUAAAGUGAUCUUGUGUCAAAGUCCACAGAAGUUAUAUCUAUAGUUUCAAGGAAAGAAGAAGCUCUAUCUUCUCUAUUUGUUGAAAUUGACCGUCUGAAGGAAGAAAAUUUUGUAAAAACGUCUCAGAGAGUGGAAUUGGAAAUUCAGAUCUCUUCUUUGAAGGAAGAUCUUGAAAAGGAGAAUCUACAUUGGCGUACUAGCUAAAGCAAUUAUCAAAGGCAGGU